AUUGAACGCUGGCGGCAUGCCUUACACAUGCAAGUCGAACGGUAACAGGUCUUCGGAUGCUGACGAGUGGCGAACGGGUGAGUAAUACAUCGGAACGUGCCUAGUAGUGGGGGAUAACUACUCGAAAGAGUGGCUAAUACCGCAUGAGAUCUACGGAUGAAAUCAGGGGAUCGCAAGAACUUGUGCUACUAGAGCGGCCGAGGGCAGAUUAGGUAGUUGGUGGGAUAAAAGCUUACCAAGCCGACGAGCUGUAGCUGGUCUGAGAGGACGAUCAGCCACACUGGGACUGAGGCACGGCCCAGACUCCUACGGGAGGCAGCAGUGGGGAAUUUUGGACAAUGGGCGAAAGCCUGAUCCAGCAAUGCCGCGUGCAGGAUGAAGGCCUUCGGGUUGUAAACUGCUUUUGUACGGAACGAAAAGCCCUGGGUUAAUACCCUGGGGUCAUGACGGUACCGUAAGAAUAAGCACCGGCUAACUACGUGCCAGCAGCCGCCGUAA
Molecule: ribosomal RNA, 498 nt
Filed under: uncultured bacterium
Lineage: Bacteria
Description: partial 16S ribosomal RNA
Rfam family: Bacterial small subunit ribosomal RNA
Source: RNAcentral